GGCCUGAUAAGAAGCGCAUCAGGCAUUGAUGCUCGACUGUCGGAUGCGGCGUGGACGCCUUAUCCGACC
RNAcentral lists this unclassified non-coding RNA (69 nucleotides) under Escherichia coli. RNAcentral's name for it is "naRNA4". Lineage: Bacteria; Pseudomonadati; Pseudomonadota; Gammaproteobacteria; Enterobacterales; Enterobacteriaceae. The record is from RNAcentral.